Molecule: non-coding RNA, 603 nt
Organism: Lolium perenne
Lineage: Eukaryota; Viridiplantae; Streptophyta; Magnoliopsida; Poales; Poaceae
Source: RefSeq, a predicted model, not a curated record
GGCAUCCGUUCACGCAUCUGUUCUCAUGAAACUAUUUGUCUAGCUCUGAAAUCCAUGAAACAGAUACAUUUCGCGUCUCCAACCGUGUCCUCUGUACCUCUGGCAGCCUAGAAACCAGUGGUAAUCUAUUUGGAAUUGCCCCUUCAGCACCUCCUGCUGGCAAGCUGUCGGUGUUCAGCUAGACAUCAGCAAUCACAUGAUCAGCAUGGCCUAAAUCGCCUUAAGCAAAAGCCUUUCUACAUGGGAUAUUUGGAAAAAAAAGGAACGCCAAGGUUUCUCAUUUGCCCUUUCAUUUGGAAUGAUAGAGGGUCUUGUGUAUCCUUGACAGAUUUGGUUUGACUCCCUUGGGAACUUGGUUUGGAAACAUCGAGUAUAGUAGACAACGAGUUAGAAGAACUGUUUGAGUUAUCUCUUAGAAUGUUUGAUACAAGAUUACCACAUGGAGUAACCGUUCUCUCGCCCUUUGCUGAAGAUUCUUCACUGACUAAAGUUGGAGUAGAGAACUUACCAGAGGAGUUAUUUCCAGUGCUUCAAACGAUACAACUGUUGCGCGGGCUGACUGUUGGGAUGGGCCUCCGUUUUUCAUAAAACUAUUUUCUUUUC